UACGGAAGGCAGCAGUGGGGAAUAUUGGACAAUGGGCGAAAGCCUGAUCCAGCCAUGCCGCAUGAGUGAAGAAGGCCUUCGGGUUGUAAAGCUCUUUUAGUGAGAAAGAUAAUGACGGUACUCACAGAAGAAGUCCUGGCUAACUCCGUGCCAGCAGCCGCGGUAAUACGGAGAGGGCUAGCGUUAUUCGGAAUUAUUGGGCGUAAAGAGCGCGUAGGCUGAUUAGUAAGUUAAAAGUGAAAUCCCAAAGCUUAACUUUGGAAUUGCUUUUUAAAACUGCUAGUCUAGAGAUUUGAAAGAGGAUAGAGGAAUUCCUAGUGUAGAGGUGAAAAUUCGUAAAUAUUAGGAGGAACACCAGUGGCGAAGGCGUCUAUCUGGUUCAAAUCUGACGCUGAGGCGCGAAGGGCGUGGGGAGCAAACAGGGAUUAGAUACC
RNAcentral lists this ribosomal RNA (434 nucleotides) under uncultured bacterium. RNAcentral's name for it is "bacterial SSU rRNA". It matches the Rfam family "Bacterial small subunit ribosomal RNA", at positions 340 to 786 of the family's 1533-position model. The record is from RNAcentral.